Molecule: ribosomal RNA, 372 nt
Filed under: uncultured organism
Description: bacterial SSU rRNA
Rfam family: Bacterial small subunit ribosomal RNA
Source: RNAcentral
CAGAGGGUGCGAGCGUUGUUCGGAAUUAUUGGGCGUAAAGGGAGUGUAGGCUGUUUGGAAAGUCUUCUGUGAAAUCUACGGGCUUACCCUGUAAAGUGCAGAGGAAACUACCAGGCUUGAGUGUCGGAGAGGACAGGGGAAUACCCAGUGUAGAGGUGAAAUUCGUAGAGAUUGGGUGGAACACCAGUGGCGAAGGCGCCUGUCUGGCUGACAACUGACGCUGAGACUCGAAAGCAUGGGGAGCAAACAGGAUUAGAUACCCUGGUAGUCCAUGCCGUAAACGAUGAUAGCUAGAUGUGUGAGGUAUUGACCCCUUACGUGUCGAAGUCAACACGAUAAGCUAUCCGCCUGGGGAGUACGGUCGCAAGAUUA